RNAcentral lists this transfer RNA (68 nucleotides) under Dichoptera sp. WW-2021a. RNAcentral describes it as "tRNA-Leu". Lineage: Eukaryota; Metazoa; Arthropoda; Insecta; Hemiptera; Fulgoridae. The record is from RNAcentral.
UCUAAGAGUGGCAGAAGACAUUGCAAUGAACUUAAAAUUCAAAAAUAAAUUAUACAAUUUCCUUAGAA